UUUUUUUUUUGAGGCGGAGUCUCCCUGUCUCCCAGGCUGGAGUGCAGUGGCGCGAUUUCCGCUCACUGCAAGCUCCGCCUCCCGGGUUGACGCCAUUCUCCUGCCUCAGCCUCCCGAGUAGCUGUAGCUGGGACUACAGGCGCCCGCCGCCACGCCCGGCUAAUUUUUUGUAUUUUUAGUGGACACGGGGUUUCACCGUGUUAGCCAGGAUGGUCUCUAUCUCCUGACCUCGUGACCCGCCCGCCUCGGCCUCCCAAAGUGCUGGGAUUACAGGCGUGAGCCACGGCGCCCGGCCUGACAUUUCUAAUAGUGCAUGUAUUAAGAUGAAGAAGGAGGAGGAUUGGAGAACUGAGUAAAGGAAGAGGAGGACGAAGAAAGAAAAAGAAACCGAGGGACCAUUUUAAAUAAAAGAUAAAUCAAGAGAAAACUGUCUUACCAGAUUGCAUUCCCCAAAGUGAGGGCAGUCCAGAGUGGCACACCAAAGUAUUUCUGAUGCCAGAACUUCACCAUCAGAGACAGCAGUCCUCUUCCCUGGCCUGGACAAGAUCCCCAAGGUACUCACAAUACUUCUCAUGGAUUGAGGCAUGAAAAGGUCUCCUGAUGAAGGACUCAAGUUGGUGGAGAAGCUGAUCGUCCACCUCGAUCUCACUUUUUCCAGUGUAGAAAUGGUAAGUUGGGGGAAAUUUUUUGCACUCUUGGUGCUAGACAGAUUGGGGGGAUAGUUGUUGCAUAUAGGAAAUUAAAUUAUCUUACUGUCUGCUCAGAGUUUUUAAGCUUUCUGUGGCGCUGGGAAAUGACUUAUCCUCAUCUUUGAGUUCUGGAAUAUUGCCGGUGACAAUCUCAGUGCCUUACAUUUUUUUGGUUUUCUGUGGGUAGCAGGGAAGCCAGCUGCCAUUUUGGAACUGAAAGUCUCCUCUGCUAUGAUACUUUCUAUGACACCAACAAUUUUACCACAUUUGCUUUUGCAAAAUCAGUGUAAAUUUCAACAGAGUGAACAAAGUCAAUUAAUGUUUUAUCAUUACUAAAACAAUAGUUUGACCUUGUAGAUACUCUAAAAGCAUAUAUUUUAAUAAUAUAUUAAUAAGAGUAUCCACAGCUUCCUGGACUACAAUUUGAGAAGCAUUGCAGUAAAGUGUAGCCCUUGCAUAACUUGCCAUGAGUGUGCAGUAUGCUACAAGCAUUAGUCAGUUUCUUUUCUUUCUUUUUUUUUUUUUUUUGAGAUGGAGUCUCCCCCCGUCCCCCAGGCUGGAGUGCAAUGGCACCAUCUUGGCUCACUGUAACCUCUACCUCCUGGGUUCAAGCCAUUCUUCUGCCUCAGCCUCCUGAGUAGCUGGGAUUACAGGUGCCCACCACCACACCUGGCUAAUUUUUGUAUUUUUGGUAGCAACAGAGUUUUGCCAUUUUAACCAGGCUGGUCUCGAACUCCUGACCUCAGAUAAUCCACCUGCCUCAGGCUCCCAAAGUGCUGGGAUUACAGGCCUAAGCCACGGGGCCCAGCCAGUCAGUUUCUUUUCACAGAGGGGAGCUCUUAUUUUUCCAGCUAGCUGGAUAGUUUGAUUAAAAAGACCUCGGUCAUUUAAAUUAGUGACAUAGAAAAUUAUAUAAUUUUGUUGCCAAAUUCUUUGUAUUAGUUUUCUGUAGCAUUUGUAUAACAUUUUAAAAAGGUGUAUAUUAUUAGCCCCAUUUUCUAGAUUAAUAAAUUGAGACUAUUAUUUUUUGAACAUAAUAAUAGGCUUUUUUUCAUAAGACUAGUGUUUUGUUAAAAAGAUUUAGUCUCAUAUGGGAAUUGGAAUUGAACAAAAAUAUUGUCUUAGGUCGAUUUUCACUGAGAAAUAUGUUUUUAUUUUUAAGCUCAUAAACUCAUACUGAUCAACAUCAAUUACAGGACAAUAUCUGAGACCUCAGUUCAAAAAAACAAGUAACUGUAUUUAACUGAAGAAGGUCACUGUUAAUCCUAGUCAAUAAAGUAACUAAUAGAUAAUCCCUUUUUAAAGAUACCAGCUCAAGUUCAGUCUUUAAAAUGGCAUUUUCUUCUGACAAUAUGUAAACACUAAAGAAGAAAACUUUUAAAAAAUAUUUUUCUUUAGUUUUAUAUUUAAAAUAACCAAUUCUGUUAUUUAAAGUAUUUUAAUGUUGUUUUCUCCAAUACAAUACAUUACUUCAUUAAUCUCAUUGUUUAGUAUUCUAAACCAAUAUUCUUUUAUUAGGUUUGUUUGUUUGCUGUGGCUUCUGGUCUGGGUGGAAAAUUAGUUUUUGAACAAAUUCAAUAUAUGUGGAAAGAAAUUAAAUGUCCUGAAUAACCAUUGUGUUGUUCUUGCAGAAUUUUAUUUUUCUAUGGGCAAACUUUUAAAGUUUUCAGUAUCUUAAGCUUAUGGAGUUGAAUUACAGCCUCUUCUUCUCGAAAGUGUUACUUCAUAGAGAUAUGUGUUCCUUAAUUAGUUAGAAUUUUGGCUUUUUGUUAUGUCUGGUGGUAUAUUCUGUGAUACAAUGUAGGAUGGGAUGCUGAAGUUUUGUUCUUAAAGAGAAAAACCUUUGCAUUAUCCUCAGGAUGCCUAAACAAUUACCACCCCCUAAAUCAGUCAACUAAUUAAUCAGUCCUAUUACCAAAAUGGCCAACCUGCUCAUCUGACCAUCUCAGGUUGUAAUUGUGUCUUGGCAAUACACAGCAGCAGCUCCCAUACUUUGUAUAUGGAGCCACCCUUGAAUGAAAGUGUAUUCGGCAUCCUGGUAAUCCUGUGAACCUGUGUUCCUAAAAUCAAAUAACUCCCCACAACUUUAGUGUCAGCAAAUUUUUCUUUACUAUGCUGAAAGUAAUAUAUCUUCAAUUGUAUAAAUGAAGCCAGAUAGCUUAAAAGUGUUUUCAGCUGAUAGUCUUGGUUAUCUGAAGGGCCAUUCUUAACAUCUUUCAAGUCUGUCUAGGCCUUUUCUUACCUCUGUCUUUUAGACUUUUACAUAACAAUCUGUUUUUUGCUGAGGGGGUGAAGGUUGUUUGUUUUUGAGGACAAAGAAUGUACCUUCACCUCUGUCUGUUCAUCUUUCUGUUAAACAAUACAACUAUACCCUUCAUUGAGGCAUUGAAAACCACACCCUACAGGCAGAUGGGCUAAGAUUUCACCAUGGACCCAGAGGAAAAUCCUGUCCUUCAAGUGAGAGAAACCAAGUCACAAAAUAGCAGCCACAAAUUCCACAAGGAAUUUGGCUUGAUAAUACACUGUGUGCAUUGAUAAUGUACAGUAGCCAUUGAAGAUACACUGACCAGGUCCAAAAUAAAAAGGUAAAACCUGCAGAAACUUGACUGCCGUCUAUUGCAAUGCUUUUAAUCUGCAAUAACAUCUUCAUCAAAAUUCAGUGACGAUUCUUAAUAUUUUACCAGGAAAUUACAUUAAUGAACAGGUGAAUUUUUCAAUCAAUCAGAAAUUGUAAUCCUGCCGUCAAUUUCUUUUCACUUCCCUUGGAUUCGUACCACUUUGUUCUUCUUGAGGUUAAAUUUUUCUGUUUAUUUAAAAAAAUUGUUUCAUUCAUUUAUCUGUUACCUUAAAAAUUUCUCAGACACUAAAACUUGUGGCUAUAAAAACAAGAAAAAUGAGACACCUGUCUUCAAAGAGUUUACAUUUAAUCAGACAAUCCAUUGACAGUGUAAGUGCUAUGUAAAGUUGCAAUUGAGAUAAAUAGCAUCUUUUUUUUUCUCAGAAGAAAUGACAUUUGAAUUUUAUUUUAUUGUAUUAUUAUUAUACUUUAAGUUUUAGGGUACAUGUGCACAAUGUGCAGGUUAGUUACAUAUGUAUACAUGUGCCAUGCUGGUGUGCUGCACCCAGUAACUCGUCAUUUAGCAUUAGGUAUUAUCUCCUAAAGCUAUCCCUCCCCGCUCUCCCCACCCCACAACAGUCCCCUAAGUGUGAUGUUCCCCUUCCUGUGUCCAUGUGUUCUCAUUGUUCAAUUCCCACCUAUGAGUGAGAACAUGCGGUGUUUGGUUUUUUGUUCUUGCAAUAGUUUACUGAGAAUGAUGAUUUCCAAUUUCAUCCAUGUCCCUACAAAGGACAUGAACUCAUCAUUUUUUAUGGCUGCAUAGUAUUCCAUGGUGUAUAUGUGCCACAUUUUCUUAAUCCAGUCUAUCAUUGUUGGACAUCUGGGUUGAAACCAAGUCUUUGCUAUUGUGAAUAGUGCCUCAAUAAACAUAUGUGUGCAUGUGUCUUAGCAGCAUGAUUUAUAGUCCUUUGGGUAUACACCGAGUAAUGGGAUGGCUGGGUCAAAUGGUAUUUCUAGUUCUAGAUCCCUGAAGAAUCGCCACACUGACUUCCACAAUGGUUGAACUAGUUUACAGUCCCACCAACAGUGUAAAAGUGGUCCUAUUUCUCCACAUCCUCUCCAGCACCUGUUCUUUCCUGUCUUUUUAAUGAUUGCCAUUCUAACUGGUGUGAGAUGGUAUCUCAUUGUGGUUUUGAUUUGCAUUUCUCUGAUGGCCAGUGAUGGUGAGCAUUUUUUCAUGUGUUUUUUGGCUGCAUAAAUGUCUUCUUUUGAGAAGUGUCUGUUCAUGUCCUUUGCCCACUUUUUGAUGGGGUUGUUUUUUUCUUGUAAAUUUGUUUGAGUUCAUUGUAGAUUCUGGAUAUUAGCCCUUUGUCAAAUGAGUAGGUUGUGAAAAUUUUCUCCCAUGUUGUAGGUUGCCUGUUCACUCUGAUGGUAGUUUCCUUUGCUGUGCAGAAGCUCUUUAAUUUAAUUAGAUCCCGUUUGUCAAUUUUGGCUUUUGUUGCCAUUGCUUUUGGUGUCUUAGAGAUGAAGUCCUUGCCCAUGCCUAUGUCCUGAAUGGUAAUGCCUAGGUUUUCUUCUAGGGUUUUUAUGGUUUUAGGUCUAACGUUUAAGUCUUUAAUCCAUCUUGAAUUGAUUUUUGUAUAAGGUGUAAGGAAGGGAUCCAGUUUCAGCUUUCUACAUAUGGGUAGCCAGUUUUCCCAGCACCAUUUAUUAAAUAGGCAAUCCUUUCCCCAUUGCUUGUUUUUCUCAGGUUUCUCAAAGAUCAGAUAGUUAUACAUAUGCGGUGUUAUUUCUGAGGGCUUUGUUCUGUUCCAUUGAUCUAUAUCUCUGUUUUGGUACCAGUGCCAUGCUUAUUUGGUUACUGUAGCCUUGUAGUAUAGUUUGAAGUCAGGUAGCGUGAUGCCUCCAGCUUUGUUCUUUUGGCUUAGGAUUGACUUGGCGAUGCAGGCUCUUUUUUGGUUCCAUAUGAACUUUAAAGUAGUUUUUUCCAAUUCUGUGAAGAAAGUCAUUGGUAGCUUGAUGGGGAUGGCAUUGAAUCUAUAAAUUACCUUGGGCAGUAUGGCCAUUUUCAUGAUAUUGAUUCUUCCUACCCAUGAGCAUGGAAUGUUCUUCCAUUUGUUUGUAUCCUCUUUUAUUUCAUUGAGCAGUGGUUUGUAGUUCUCCUUGAAGAGGUCCUUCACGUCCCUUGUAAUUUGGAUUCCUAGGUAUUUUAUUCUGUUUGAAGCAAUUGUGAAUGGGAGUUCGCUCAUGAUUUGGCUCUCUGUUUGUCUGUUAUUGGUGUAUAAGAAUGCUUGUGAUUUUUGUACAUUGAUUUUGUAUCCUGAGACUUUGCUGAAGUUGCUUAUCAGCUUAAGGAGAUUUUGGGCUGAGACGAUGGGGUUUUCUAGAUAUACAAUCAUGUCAUCUGCAAACAAGGAUAAUUUGACUUCCUCUUUUCCUAAUUGAAUACCCUUUAUUUCCUUCUCCUGCCUAAUUGCCCUGGCCAGAACUUCCAACACUAUGUUGAAUAGGAGUGGUGAGAGAGGACAUCCCUGUCUUGUGCCAGUUUUCAAAGGGAAUGCUUCCAGUUUUUGCCCAUUCAGUAUGAUAUUGGCUGUGGGUUUGUCAUAGAUAGCUCUUAUUGAGAUACGUCCCAUCAAUACCUAAUUUAUUGAGAGUUUUUAGCACGAAGAGUUGGUGAAUUUUGUCAAAGGCCUUUUCUGCAUCUAUUGAGAUAAUCAUGUGGUUUUUGUCUUUGGUUCUGUUUAUAUGCUGGAUUACAUUUAUUGAUUUGCAUAUAUUGAACCAGCCUUGCAUCCCAGGGAUGAAGCCCACUUGAUCAUGGUGAAUAAGCUUUUUGAUGUGCUGCUGGAUUCGGUUUGCCAGUAUUUUAUUGAGGAUUUUUGCAUCAAUGUUCAUCAAGGAUACUGGUCUAAAAUUCUCUUUUUUGGUUGUGUCUCUGCCCAGCUUUGGUAUCAGGAUGAUGCUGGCCUCAUAAAAUGAGUUAGGGAGGAUUCCCUCUUUUUCUAUUGAUUGGAAUAGUUUCAGAAGGAAUGGUACCAGUUCCUCCUUGUACCUCUGGUAGAAUUCGGCUGUGAAUCUAUCUGGUCCUGGAUUCUUUUUGGUUGGUAAGCUAUUGAUUAUUGCCACAAUUUCAGAGCCUGUAAUUGGUCUAUUCAGAGGUUCAACUUCUGCCUGGUUUAGUCUUGGGUGAGUGUAUGUAUCGAGGAAUGUAUCCAUUUCUUCUAGAUUUUCUAGUUUAUUUGCGUAGAGGUGUUUAUAGUAUUCUCUGAUGGUAGUUUGUAUUUCUGUAGGAUCGGUGGUGAUAUCCCCUUUAUCAUUUUUUAUUGUUUCUAUUUGAUUCUUCUCUCUUUUCUUCUUUAUUUUUCUUGCUAGCGGUCUAUCAAUUUUGUUGAUCCUUUCAAAAAACCAGCUCCUGGAUUCAUUAAUUUUUUGAAGGGUUUUUCGUGUCUCUAUUUCCUUCAGUUCUUCUCUGAUUUUAGUUAUUUCUUGCCUUCUGCUAGCUUUUGAAUGUGUUUGCUCUUGUUUUCUAGUUCUUUUAAUUGUGAUGUUAGGGUAUCAAUUUUGGAUCUUUCCUGCUUUCUCUUGUGGGCAUUUAGUGCUAUGCAUUUCCCUCUACACACUGCUUUGAAUGUGUCCCAGAGAUUCUGGUAUGUUGUGUCUUUGUUCUCGUUGGUUUCAAAGAACAUCUUUAUUUCUGCCUUCAUUUCAUUAUGUACCUAGUAGUCAUUCAGGCGCAGGUUGUUCAGUUUCCAUGUAGUUGAGUGGUUUUGGGUGAGUUUCUUAAUCCUGAGUUCUAGUUUGAUUGCACUGUGGUCUGAGAGACAGUUUGUUAUAAUUUCUGUUCUUUUACAUUUGCUGAGGAGAGCUUUACUUCCAACUAUGUGGUCAAUUUUGGAAUAGGUGUGGUGUGGUGCUGAAAAAAAAGUAUGUUCUGUUGAUUUGGGGUGGAGAGUUCUGUAGAUGUCUAUUAGGUCCGCUUGGUGCAGAGCUGAGUUCAAUUCCUGGGUAUCCUUGUUAACUUUCUGUCUCGUUGAUCUGUCUAAUGUUGACAGUGGGGUGUUAAAGUCUCCCAUUAUAAUUGUGUGGGAGUCUCAGUCUCUUUUUGGUCACUCAGGACUCGCUUUAGGAAUCUGGGUGCUCCUGUAUUGGGUGCAUAUAUAUUUAGGAUAGUUAGCUCUUCUUGUUAAUUGAUCCCUUUACCCUUAUGUAAUGUCCUUGUCUCUUUUGAUUUUUGUUGGUUUAAAGUCUGUUUUAUCAGAGACUAGGAUUGCAACCCCUGCCUUUUUUUGUUUUCCAUUUGCUUGGUAGAUCUUCCUCCAUCCUUUUAUUUUGAGCCUAUGUGUGUCUCUGCACGUGAGAUGGGUUUCCUGAAUACAGCACACUGAUGGGUCUUGACUCUUUAUGCAAUUUGCCAGUCUGUGUCUUUUAAUUGGAGCAUUUAGUCCAUUUACAUUUAAAGUUAUUAUUGUUAUGUGUGAAUUUGAUCCUGUCAUUAUGAUGUUAGCUGGUUAUUUUGCUCGUUAGUUGAUGCAGUUUCUUCCUAGCCUCGAUGGUCUUUACAAUUUGGCAUGAUUUUGCAGUGGCUGGUACUGGUUGUUCCUUUCCAUGUUUAGUGCUUCCUUCAGGAGCUCUUUUAGGGCAGGCCUGGUGGUGACAAAAUCUCUCAGCAUUUGCUUGUCUGUAAAGUAUUUUAUUUCUCCUUGACUUAUGAAACUUAGUUUGGCUGGAUAUGAAAUUCUGGGUUGAAAAUUCUUUUCUUUAAGAAUGUUGAAUAUUGACCCCCAGUCUCUUCUUCUGGCUUGUAGAGUUUCUGCCGAGAGAUCAGCUGUUAGUCUGAUGGGCUUCCCUUUGUGGGUAACCCAACCUUUCUCUCCGGCUGCUCUUAACAUUUUUUCCUUCAUUUCAACUUUGGUGAAUCUGACAAUUAUGUGUCUUGGAGUUGCUCUUCUCGAAGAGUAUCUUUGUGGUGUUCUCUAUAUUUCCUGAAUUUGAAUGUUGGCCUGCCUUGCUAGAUUGGGGAACUUCUCCUGGAUAAUAUCCUGCAGAGUGUUUUCCAACUUGGUUCCAUUCUCCCCAUCACUUUCAGGUACACCAAUCAGACAUAGAUUUGGUCUUUUCACAUAGUCUCAUAUUUCAUGGAGGCUUUGUUCAUUCCUUUUUAUUCUUUUUUCUCUAAACUGCCCUUCUUGCUUCAUUUCAUUCAUUUCAUCUUCCAUCACUGAUACCCCUUCUUCCAGUUGAUCGCAUCAGCUCCUGAGGCUUCUGCAUUCUUCAGGUACUUCUCGAGCCUUGGCUUUCAGCUCCAUCAGCUCCUUUAAGCACUUCUCUGUAUUGGUUAUUCUAGUUAUACGUUCGUCUAAAUUUUUUUCAAAGUUUUCAGCUUCUUUGCCUUUGGUUAGAAUUUCCUCCUGUAGCUCGGAGUAGUUUGAUCGUCUGAAGCCUUCUUCUCUCAACUCGUCAAAGUCAUUCUCCGUCCAGCUUUGUUCUGUUGCUGGUGAGGAGCUGCGUUCCUUUGGAGGAGGAGAGGCACUCUGCUUUUUAGAGUUUCCAGUUUUUCUGCUCUGUUUUUCCCCCAUCUUUGUGGUUUUAUCUACUUUUGGUCUUUGAUGAUGGUGAUGUACAGAUGGGUUUUUGGUGUGGAUGUCCUUUCUGUUUGUUAGUUUUCCUUCUAACAGACAGGACCCUCAGCUGCAGGUCUGUUGGAGUUUGCUAGAGGUCCAAUCCAGACCCUGUUUGCCUGGGUACCAGCAGCAGUGGCUGCAGAACAGCGGAUUUUCGUGAACCGCGAAUGCUGCUGUCUCAUGGUUCCCCUGGAAGUUUUGUCUCAGAGGAGUACCCGGCCGUGUGAGGUAUCAGUCUGCCACUGCUGGGGGGUGCCUCCCAGUUAGGCUGCUUGGGGGUCAGGGGUCAGGGACCCACUUGAGGAGGCAGUCUGCCCGUUCUCAGAUCUCCAGCUGCGUGCUGGGAGAACCACUGCUCUCUUCAAAGCUGUCAGACAGGGACAUUUAAGUCUGCAAAGGUUACUGCUGUCUUUUUGUUUUGUCUGUGCCCUGCCCCCAUAGGUGGAGCCUAGAUAGGCAGGCAGGCCUCCUUCAGCUGUGGUGGGCUCCACCCAGUUGGAGCUUCCUGGCUGCUUUGUUUACCUAAGCAAGCCUGGGCAAUGGCGGGCGCCCCUCCCCCAGCCUCGCUGCCACCUUGCAGUUUGAUCUCAGACUGCUGUGCUAGCAAUCAGUGAGACUCCGUGGGCAUAGGACCCUCCGAGCCAGUUGUGGGAUAUAAUCUCCUGGUGCGCCAUUUUUUAAGCCUGUUGGAAAAGCACAGUAUUAGGGUGGGAGUGACCCGAUUUUCCAGGUGCCAUCUGUCACCCCUUUCUUUGACUGGGAAAGGGAACUCCCUGACCCCUUGCGCUUCCCGAGUGAGGCAAUGCCUCGCCCUGCUUCCGCUCGCACACGGUGCGCUGCACCCACUGUCCUGCGCCCACUGUCUGGUACUCCCUAGUGAGAUGGACCCGGUACCUCAGAUGGAAAUGUAGAAAUCACCCGUCUUCUGCGUCACUCACACUGGGAGCUGUAGACCGGAGCUGUUCCUAUUCGGCCAUCUUGGCUCCUCCCUCAAUAGCAUCUUAUUAAUGAUUUUUGUCAAGAUAUGACUCUUAUACAUCGUGUCUAUAAAUGUACCUAAUUAGCUUAUGUGGGAUGAAAAAAAGAAAUAAGAUUUCAAAGGUGUCAUUGUCAAUAUAUCUACAAUAGUAAAUUUAGCUCCCUGAAAGUGUCCUCAGUUUUUACAACCUUCUGAAAUACGACCUUUUAAUAAGUCACUCCGCCACCCUAACUCCAUCUGCACCAUCUGAAAAAAAAAAACAAGAAACAAAUUAUGGAAUAAUCUUCUUGACAGUUCCAUAUAUUUCUAAUGAAUGGAUGUUUCUGAGUCCCCAUUGUUUGCCAUCUCCACAGACAGGAUUCAGUUAAUGAAAUGGCUAAUUAGAUUUCUGUAAUCCUGUUGUCAUUGUGUUUGAGGUGACAUUUUGUCGGCAUUUCUCUUGUGGCUUCUUCAGUUUAAUGGGAAAUAUUCUUGCUUAGCCAACUUGGCUUUUGCUAUUUUGUUGGAAAGGCAGUUCCCUCUAUUGGUGUAAUGAAAUCAUUGCCUUCCCAAAUAUAGCUCUGCCACUCAGCAUUUAAAUAGAAAAGAAUAGGAAAAUAAUAAUCUGAUUAG
Molecule: long non-coding RNA, 10461 nt
Organism: Homo sapiens (human)
Lineage: Eukaryota; Metazoa; Chordata; Mammalia; Primates; Hominidae
Exons: 3
Source: RefSeq, a predicted model, not a curated record